CAGCCGCCGCGGUAAUACGGAGGAUCCAAGCGUUAUCCGGAUUUAUUGGGUUUAAAGGGUGCGUAGGCGGCUUAUUAAGUCAGGGGUGAAAGACGGUGGCUCAACCAUCGCAGUGCCUUUGAUACUGAUGAGCUUGAAUAUACUUGAGGUAGGCGGAAUGUGACAAGUAGCGGCGAAAUGCAUAGAUAUGUCACAGAACACCGAUUGCGAAGGCAGCUUACCAAGGUAUGAUUGACGCUGAGGCACGAAAGCGUGGGGAUCAAACAGGAUUAGAUACCCUGGUAGUCCACGCCCUAAACGAUGAAUACUCGAUGUUGGCGAUAUACAGUCAGCGUCCAAGCGAAAGCGUUAAGUAUUCCACCUGGGGAGUACGGCCGCAAGGUUGAAACUUAAAGGAAUUGGCGGG
Molecule: ribosomal RNA, 406 nt
Filed under: uncultured microorganism
Description: bacterial SSU rRNA
Rfam family: Bacterial small subunit ribosomal RNA
Source: RNAcentral